AUGUCCGAUGUAGUGAAGUUGAGAUUUUACUAUGGUCCUGGUACUGUCCAAACAAAUGAGUUGGGAGCAGAUCUGAGUGAAUUUACUCACAUAGAGGUUGCAAUCAGCGCACCACAAACAUGGUCUGUUAGUCAGUUGAAAGAAUGGAUUGCGGCAAGUUUAGGUCUUGAUACUGAAACACACACCGUCGGUGUUCAUGCAUUGUGGACACGGUCAAGUUUAAAAAUUUACUUUUAUUUGAGGCCAAUAGAGGGAGACUCCGAUUGGGUGCGGUGGUUACAAGGUUGUGAACGAAGGGGAUGCAAUCCUGUUGCUUUAGUGCUUCCCGUCGUGAAGGAGGUCACUGCACAUGAAGGGGAGGGUGGCUACGAAGGACAGAGCAGUCAUGUAGAAGGAGGAAAUGCUUAUGGUUACGAACAAGGACAGAGCAGUCAGGUAGAAGGAGGAAAUGCUUAUGGUUAUGAACCAGGACAGAGUAGUCAGGUAGAAGGAGGAAAUGCCGAUGGUGAUUACAAUGGCGAGGUGGACGCUGACGAGGUAGAUGGGCACAUGCAGAACCAGAUGGAAGAAGAAGACACCGAUGUUGAAAGGGGUCAUGCCGAUGAUUCUGACGAGUCAGAUGAAGAAGAAAAUGCAGAGGAGGUCCCGAAUCCUGCAUGGUGGAAUCAUGACUUAUCAUCUGCAAUGACCGUGAAUGAUGGACAUGAUUCAGCCUGGCAAUAUCACCAGAACAAUAUUGCGACGGGUGCUAUGUAUCCGAACAAGCAAGCCCUGAAGGAUGCAAUAAUUAAUUGGGCAAUGUCCACGCAAAGGGUUUUCAAAGCUGAGGUGUCCAGUCAGAAAUUCCUCACAAUGGUAUGCAAGAAUGCAGAUUGUCCCGCAAGGGUGCACGGCUUUCUCCCUAAGUAUGGCACAAGUUGGGUGAUAAGUGACUUAGUUAAUCACACUUGUCUUAUUCCCUGCAUCCCUCAAGAUCAUGCCAACCUUUCAUCCACGCUUAUUGCUCGACUGUUUUACGAUGAGAUAGUGCAAGGCAAAGCUAUGGAAGUGAAGGCAGUGCAGACAAAAGUGUUCGCCAGGUUGAAGUACAGAAUUUCUUAUGGCAAGGCUUGGAGGGCUAAGCAUGCAGCGCUUGAGAGGAGAUUUGGUUCUUAUUUUGGUGCAUAUGACUCUGUUGUCCACCUCCUCCACACCCUGCAGCAGCGGAAUCCAGGCACCUAUAUCGAUAUCCAAGACAUGUUCAUGCCAGAGUUCCCAACUGUGAGGGUUUUGCAUCGUCUCUUCUUCUCUUUCGGUGUAUGCAUCGAAGCUUUCAGGCAUUGCCGACCGGUGAUAUGUGUUGACGGUACUUUUCUCACAGGCAAGUACAAGGGUCAGAUACUGACAGCCAUAGGUCAAGACGGCCAAAAUCAAGUCGUCCCACUGGCAUUUGCUUUUGUGGUGAGUGAGAACAUUGAAAGUUGGACAUGGUUCUUCAGGCAGUUGAAAAUAUCAGUUGUCAAGGAGAAGCCGAAUGUGUGCAUCCUUCAUGACAGGCAUGCAGGUAUACUCAGUGCGAUAAGGACACUGACAAACCCAGGCCCUGAGGAACAAGUUCCAUGGCAGGACUUGCAGAGCCGUUGGUGCAUGCGCCAUCUCGGGGCUAAUUUCUUCUCGCAGUUUAGAAAUAAGAACCUGAUGAAUCUGUUCAAAAAACUCUGCAAGCGGAACCAGUUAUGGAAGUACAAUUUGAUACGCGACAGACUUAAUGUGUGCACGCAGAGACAGGUGAGGGACAGGAAAGCUGCAAGAGAUGCAUCGGUGAGGGCACAUGUUGAAGCAGUAGCUGCACAGUUGGCAACAAGAACAGCGGCCGUGGAGGAGGAGGCUGUUGGGCUAUGUGACCUGCCAGGCUUUGACCCACCUGGUACUAGGAGAAGGCUCGGGAGGUCGAUUAAAACCUUCGAGCAGUGGAUAGAGCAUGAGCCUCUGGAGAGGUGGUCUUUGCUACAUGACACACAUGGAGCAAGGUACGGUGUCAUGACAACGAACCUCGCAGAAACAUACAACUUUGUCCUCAGAGGAAACCGGGCAUUGCCACUUACAGCCAUCGUUGAGGGUAUUUUCUAUGGCACCGUCAAGUAUUUCAGAGACAGACGUAAAAUAGCAGAGCAGCAUAUCUUGAACAACCCAAAUACACGGUACUGUGAAAGAGUCACAAAGUACAUGGACAACAAGAUGCAAAAAGCUAGGUCACACACUGUAGUCGCCAUCGGUAAUCAAGAAAGAAGGUUUGAGGUCCGCUUAGCCAACAAAAAAUUCGGAUGUGCAAAUGAGUUGAGGACGCAUGAGGUGAAAAUUGGCAAUGAAGCCUGGCCAACGUGUGAGUGCACAUGCAAUAAACCGAAAUUGCUUCACCUACCUUGCUCACAUGUACUUGCUGCUUGCGGGCAGCUUGGAAUGGACGCAAUAUCGUUUGUGUCUCCAUAUUUUCUGAAAGAGGCUGUCCUCAAUACCUGGACAGGUGAGCUGAUGGGUUUUCGAUCAAUGGGUAAUUUCAACAGCGUCAACCCCGCCGAUAGGCGUUACAUUCCAAACCCAGAGCAUAUGCGUACAAGUAGAGGCAGACGGCAGUGUCAGCGCAUCCGAAAUGAUAUGGAUGAAUCUGAAGCAGGAGGUCCGACUAGGCAAUGCAUUCUAUGCAAUGAAUUUGGCCAUAGGGACACUAAUUGUCCCACUUUCGUCACUGGGCGUGGACGAGGCAACCGGGGAAGAAGAGGAGGUAGAGGUAGUAGAGGA
Molecule: ribosomal RNA, 2778 nt
Filed under: Triticum aestivum (bread wheat)
Lineage: Eukaryota; Viridiplantae; Streptophyta; Magnoliopsida; Poales; Poaceae
Description: partial small subunit ribosomal RNA
Source: RNAcentral